AGAGUUUGAUCAUGGCUCAGAACGAACGCUGGCGGCAGGCCUAAUACAUGCAAGUCUAACGGGCGUAGCAAUACGUCAGUGGCGGACGGGUGAGUAACACGUGGGAAUAUGCCCCGAGGUACGGAACAACUCAGGGAAACUUGAGCUAAUACCGUAUGAUCCGGCAACGGCAAAGAUUUAUCGCCUUGGGAUUAGCCCGCGUCCGAUUAGCUAGUUGGUGAGGUAAAGGCCCACCAAGGCACCGAUCGGUAGCUGGUUUGAGAGAACGACCAGCCACACUGGGACUGAGACACGGCCCAGACUCCUACGGGAGGCAGCAGUAGGGAAUCUUGGACAAUGGGGGAAACCCUGAUCCAGCCAUGCCGCGUGAGUGAUGAAGGCCUUCGGGUUGUAAAACUCUUUCGGCGGGGACGAUAAUGACGGUACCCGCAGAAGAAGCUCCGGCUAACUUCGUGCCAGCAGCCGCGGUAAUACGAAGGGGGCUAGCGUUGUUCGGAAUUACUGGGCGUAAAGCGCGCGCAGGCGGCCUUUCAAGUCAGGGGUGAAAGCCCGGAGCUCAACUCCGGAAUUGCCUUUGAAACUGUCAGGCUCGAGUACGGGAGAGGUGAGUGGAAUUCCCAGUGUAGAGGUGAAAUUCGUAGAUAUUGGGAAGAACACCGGUGGCGAAGGCGGCUCACUGGCCNNUUUCUGACGCUCAGGCGCGACAGCGUGGGGAUCAAACAGGAUUAGAUACCCCGGUAGUCC
RNAcentral lists this ribosomal RNA (744 nucleotides) under uncultured bacterium. RNAcentral's name for it is "bacterial SSU rRNA". It matches the Rfam family "Bacterial small subunit ribosomal RNA", at positions 8 to 796 of the family's 1533-position model. The record is from RNAcentral.